UUAUUUUUGUUAUGAUAACAAGACGUUCGUUACACUGAUGUUUGUAUGUUGUUAGACCCGGAGGUCAAACGGUUCACAGAGGUGAGGGAUGAUAAGAUAGGACCUUUCGGUCAAUCAUUAAUGAUCCUUCCGCAGGUUCACCUACGGAAA
RNAcentral lists this unclassified non-coding RNA (150 nucleotides) under uncultured fungus. RNAcentral describes it as "sequence contains ITS1". The record is from RNAcentral. Lineage: Eukaryota; Fungi.